RNAcentral lists this ribosomal RNA (216 nucleotides) under uncultured bacterium. RNAcentral's name for it is "partial 16S ribosomal RNA". It matches the Rfam family "Bacterial small subunit ribosomal RNA", at positions 118 to 351 of the family's 1533-position model. The record is from RNAcentral.
UGGGAACGUGCCCUUUGGUUCGGAAUAACUCAGGGAAACUUGAGCUAAUACCGGAUAAGCCCUUACGGGGAAAGAUUUAUUGCCAAAGGAGCGGCCCGCGUCUGAUUAGCUAGUUGGUAGGGUAAUGGCCUACCAAGGCUACGAUCAGUAGCUGGUCUGAGAGGAUGAUCAGCCACAUUGGGACUGAGACACGGCCCAAACUCCUACGGGAGGCAG